CCUACGGGGGGCUGCAGUGGGGAAUAUUGCGCAAUGGGCGAAAGCCUGACGCAGCGACGCCGCGUGAGGGAUGAAGGUCUUCGGAUCGUAAACCUCUGUCAGCAGGGAAGAACGGUCACUGUGCUAAUCAGCCGUGAAUUGACGGUACCUGCAAAGGCAGCACCGGCUAACUCCGUGCCAGCAGCCGCGGUAAUACGGAGGGUGCGAGCGUUAAUCGGAAUUACUGGGCGUAAAGCGCUCGUAGGCGGUAUGUCAAGUCAAGGGUGAAAUCCCCGGGUUCAACGUGGGAACUGCCUUGGAAACUGGCAAACGGGGGGGGGUGAGAGGAUAGUGGAAUUCAGGUGUAGGAGUGAAAUCCGUAGAUAUCUGGAGGAACAUCAGUGGCGAAGGCGACUAUCUGGCACAUAACUGACGCUGAGGAGCGAAAGCGUGGGUAGCAAACAGGAUUAGAUACCCCAGUAGUC
This 464-nucleotide ribosomal RNA is filed under the name uncultured bacterium. RNAcentral describes it as "partial 16S ribosomal RNA". It matches the Rfam family "Bacterial small subunit ribosomal RNA", at positions 338 to 795 of the family's 1533-position model. The record is from RNAcentral.